UGGGGAAUAUUGGACAAUGGGCGAAAGCCUGAUCCAGCCAUGCCGCGUGUGUGAAGAAGGCCUUUUGGUUGUAAAGCACUUUAAGUGGGGAGGAAAAGCUUAUGGUUAAUACCCAUAAGCCCUGACGUUACCCACAGAAUAAGCACCGGCUAACUCCGUGCCAGCAGCCGCGGUAAUACGGAGGGUGCAAGCGUUAAUCGGAAUUACUGGGCGUAAAGCGCGCGUAGGUGGUUAUUUAAGUCAGAUGUGAAAGCCCCGGGCUUAACCUGGGAACUGCAUCUGAUACUGGAUAACUAGAGUAGGUGAGAGGGGAGUAGAAUUCCAGGUGUAGCGGUGAAAUGCGUAGAGAUCUGGAGGAAUACCGAUGGCGAAGGCAGCUCCCUGGCAUCAUACUGACACUGAGGUGCGAAAGCGUGGGUAGCAAACAGGAUUAGAUACCCUGGUAGUCCACGCCGUAAACGAUGUCUACCAGUCGUUGGGUCUUUUAAAGACUUAGUGACGCAGUUAACGCAAUAAGUAGACCGCCUGGGGAGUACGGCCGCAAGGUU
RNAcentral lists this ribosomal RNA (548 nucleotides) under uncultured bacterium. RNAcentral's name for it is "bacterial SSU rRNA". It matches the Rfam family "Bacterial small subunit ribosomal RNA", at positions 355 to 895 of the family's 1533-position model. The record is from RNAcentral.